Molecule: ribosomal RNA, 429 nt
Filed under: bacterium
Lineage: Bacteria
Description: partial 16S ribosomal RNA
Rfam family: Bacterial small subunit ribosomal RNA
Source: RNAcentral
UAGGGAAUCUUCGGCAAUGGGGGCAACCCUGACCGAGCAACGCCGCGUGAGUGAAGAAGGUUUUCGGAUCGUAAAGCUCUGUUGUAAGAGAAGAACGUGUGUGAGAGUGGAAAGUUCACACAGUGACGGUAACUUACCAGAAAGGGACGGCUAACUACGUGCCAGCAGCCGCGGUAAUACGUAGGUCCCGAGCGUUGUCCGGAUUUAUUGGGCGUAAAGCGAGCGCAGGCGGUUUAAUAAGUCUGAAGUUAACGGCAGUGGCUUAACCAUUGUUCGCUGUGGAAACUGUUAAACUUGAGUGCAGAAGGGGAGAGUGGAAUUCCAUGUGUAGCGGUGAAAUGCGUAGAUAUAUGGAGGGAGACCGGUGGCGAAAGCGGGUCUCUGGUCUGUAACUGGCGCUGAGGCUCGAAAGCGUGGGGAGGAAACAGG